CCAAAUUUACUAAAUUGAAAACGCAAUGCUUUCAAAUAUUUCUAAGAAACUGACUUGUUCCAGAUGUGGUCACAGCUCAAAGUUUAUUAUUAAUAAAUUGAAAUAGUAAAUGAUAACAUCAAAUUGCUUAUUCUGUAAUAGCACUGGUUUAAUCAUGAAGUUCAACUACAAACUCUACUUAGAACAGGAAUCUUUUUUGAGUAUGUAC
Molecule: unclassified non-coding RNA, 208 nt
Filed under: Hevea brasiliensis (rubber tree)
Lineage: Eukaryota; Viridiplantae; Streptophyta; Magnoliopsida; Malpighiales; Euphorbiaceae
Source: RNAcentral